This 1081-nucleotide ribosomal RNA is filed under the name Bipalium vagum. RNAcentral's name for it is "16S ribosomal RNA". The record is from RNAcentral. Lineage: Eukaryota; Metazoa; Platyhelminthes; Tricladida; Geoplanidae.
UGAAGAAAUUUGAAAAGUGUGUUUUUUGUAUUCCUUCUUGUAUUACGGUAGUUAGGAAGAUAAAAAGAUUUUUUUUCUCGAAAAAAGAAGAUCUAGAUUGUUUUUGGAUAAAGAAAAGUUCUUAGUCAUUUAAUAAAUAUAUUUUUUAGAGAUAAAAAAUCAAUGCUAGAAGUGAAAUUUUUUCGAUUCUUUUUUUCUAGGUUUAUUUUUGCUAAGUAAAAGCUUAGUUUGUAAAGUUGGAAUUUUGAUAGAAAUUUUUGGAGUAGUUUUAAAUUUUAUAAGAUUUCAAAUUUAUUUGAUGUUUUUAAAAAAUACAGAAUUUUAGAGCAAAUUUUUAUAAAGGCUAUUUGAUGAGUAAAUGAAAUUUUAGAUUUUUAAAAUUAGUUAAUUAGUAUAUAAAAAAGUGAUAAAGAACUAGAUUGUUAUCCAACUGUUUAUUAAAAACAUUUCUUUUUUUAUAAAAGGUAGUUGCUGCUCCAUGAAUUGCUGUUUAAAUAGCUGCAGUAUUUUGACUGUGCAAAGGUAGCAUAAUUAUUUGUCUGUUAAUUACAGAAUUGUUUGAAUGAGGUUAUGAGAUAAGUUUUUUUUUAUUAUUUUGGAAAAAUUUAAAUUUUAAAGUGAAGAUUCUUUAAGAAAUUUGAUUAAGAAUUAAGACGAAAAGACCCUAAAGAGUUUUUACUAAGGCAAAAAUAUUUUGUUUAAUUAGUUUUUAAUGGGGAAUUAGAGUUUUUUUGAAUUUUAGAAUUUAUAAAAAAAACUUCCUUAGGGAUAACAGGGUAAUAGAAUUUUAGAGUCCUUAUCACAAAUUUUGUUUACUACCUCGAUGUUGAAUCAUAAUAAAAGCUUUGGUGCAGGUGUUUAGUAUUUUAGUCUGUUCGACUAUUAAAAUUUUUCGUGAUUUGAGUUUAGACCGAUGUAAAUCAGGUUGGUUUUUAUCUAAUAUUAAAGAUGUUGUACGAAAGGACUCAUUCUUUUUUAUGUAUUUUUUAUAGCAAAGAUGCAAUUUUGUUUUGAACUGAAAUUUCAAAAAGAAAUAAUUUUAUUUUAAGAAAUUUAUGUAGUAAAAGGUUUGGCCCUAUAG